GCGAUGAUUAUAAAUUUUUAACCCUGAGAUCUUCCGAUGAGGAUCAAAACGCAACAACACUCUAAUUUUUUCAUGAGC
Molecule: small nucleolar RNA, 78 nt
Filed under: Paraphaeosphaeria minitans
Lineage: Eukaryota; Fungi; Ascomycota; Dothideomycetes; Pleosporales; Didymosphaeriaceae
Also listed under: 2 other names
Description: Paraconiothyrium minitans A. fimigatus snoRNA Afu_298
Rfam family: A. fimigatus snoRNA Afu_298
Source: Rfam by way of RNAcentral